This is a non-coding RNA of Pelodiscus sinensis (Chinese soft-shelled turtle), 416 nucleotides long. The record is from the annotation of a RefSeq genome assembly. Lineage: Eukaryota; Metazoa; Chordata; Testudines; Trionychidae.
UCCACCAUGGCCUGGGCCCCCCUGCUCCUCGCCCUGCUCACUUACUGCUCAGGGGUCAGGUCACAGCCUGUGGUGACUCAGGAGCCCUCCAUGUCGGUGACCCCAGGAGGGGCCGUCACGCUGUCCUGCAGCCUGAGCACUGGAGCCAUCACCAGCAGCAACUAUCCUACCUGGGUACAGCAGAAACCUGGAUCAGCUCCUCGGACACUUAUAUAUAACACCAAUAGCAGACCCUCCGGGAUCCCUGCCCGGUUCUCUGGGGCCAUUUCAAGUAACGACGCUGCCCUGACCAUCACCGGUGUGCAGGCAGAGGACGAGGCUGACUAUUACUGUGUUGUGUAUACAGGUAGCAGUGGUAGUGUGUUCCACAGUGAUUCAGUCAGAUGAGGAACUGAGACAAAACCUCUCUUGCCUUC